UUUUCUGCUCAAGAACCAAGACGUUCUUUCUGAAUCUUCUAUGUCCAAUGAAAUUAAAUGUGAGACAGAAAGCAGAAGGAAAUCAAGUGUUCAUCCCUAGAUAUUAAGUGUGGGAGAAAGAUGCUGUUCAACACUUAGGACUGAUCGGAAAAUUCACUUUGGAGAAGUUGAGCUUCUUUUAUGAGAGUGUGAGCUACACCCACUUCUCUGUCUGCUUUUGAAGAUUUGAUAUAUGAUCCAUUAGGAGAUUUACAUCUUGCUGAAGGAAUAAAACCUAAAGUUGCCAGAUCUCAGUGUGCUCACCAUCAGCAGGUACAAUAAUGCAGGUGCUCCUUUAAUACUGAAAAAUUGGGAGUAGUCGUGUCAAUGGCCGGCAGAGUGGGCCCGUGUGCAGAGAAACCUCCUCUUGGCUUCUGUGUCCCUUGCUGUGAGCUGGUCACACUCUUCAGUUCUGGAGAAAAUUCUUUUCUGGGCCAGACAAACCCAGUGCUCUAGGCUAAGCCCAGUCGAAGACCAAGUCAGCUCAUGGUCGUGAAAGUUCUUCAGUGCUGGCUGCCGAGGCACUCUUCUCUGGGACAGCCAGAACACAGGCUUGUUCUCUUCCACACUUCUCAUUUCAGAUCAGUGGCUCUUUCCAGCCUCCCACCCAGGGGCCACCACCAUUGCCCGUUGAUGAAUCUGACCCCACCAAUCUUAAAUGGUUCCACAGAAAAGGGGCCAAUAAAGCACCCUUCCGACAGAAAGGACCAAGACCCUGGAAUAAAAGAGAACAGACAUCUGUUUCACUUUCUCAAAUCCUUAUUCGGGCUAUCGUUGCCCCUUCAGAGGUUUCUGAAGUCCUAAGGCAUAGCAGGACUGUCUUCUGCAGACAGCCCUCUCACAGGGGAAGAGGAAGAAAGCCACCAUCUGGAAUGGAUUAGGAGCCCACUCCUCAGGUACGUUUGUAGACUAACAUUUUGUCCAUUUCGGUGGGCCUGUGGGCAGUGGGCUUCUUCAUAUAACAGGCGUUUUCCCCAAAGACUAUUUGCAAGAGGGACAUUUUUUUUUCUUCCUUCCUUAGUUGCCCUGCAGAAUGUAUGCUCAGGGGAGAAUUCUCCAGCUCACACUUGAUCAAGUGGCCCACCAGGCCACUUUGCCUCUCCGCUGGCCUCCAGCUUGGAAGAUAAUCAUGGCACCCAGCCAGGAGGUCUCAGGGCUCAGCCGUGGUUGGGUCUCUCCUGUAAUGCCACAGUAGAGGCCCAGGUCACCCUAUUAUCUACCUCAUGAUUUAACGUGGAUGGGGCAGUCUUUGGAAUGGUGGGCCAGAUAUCGUAAACAAAUGACGGUCGCCUUCUUGAAUGCUUGUGUGUGGUCACGAGGUAAGAUCCCUGUUGCCAUGUCUUUGCUGGGACCAGCUUGCCCCAGUGAAGUAAGCCUUGACGGAAACCCGAGAGCUUGUAGUGUUUGCCGUGGGAUUGACAAGACAGACCUGCUGCACUUGGUGGUCUGCUCAAUCAUUCUACAUGUUGCCAUUAGACGAAUCCUUCCAGGAUUGUUCAGAUGGAUGGAAGGCUGUGUUGAGAACAGCCAGUGUUGC
This 1576-nucleotide long non-coding RNA is filed under the name Canis lupus familiaris (dog). RNAcentral's name for it is "lncRNA (ENSCAFG00040009092.1)". Lineage: Eukaryota; Metazoa; Chordata; Mammalia; Carnivora; Canidae. The record is from RNAcentral.